RNAcentral lists this ribosomal RNA (260 nucleotides) under uncultured bacterium. Its description in RNAcentral is "partial 16S ribosomal RNA". It matches the Rfam family "Bacterial small subunit ribosomal RNA", at positions 793 to 1055 of the family's 1533-position model. The record is from RNAcentral.
GUCCACGCCCUAACGAUGUCGACUAGGUGUUGGGAAGGAGACUUCCUUAGUACCGCAGCUAACGCGUGAAGUCGACCGCCUGGGAGUACGGUCGCAAGAUUAAACUCAAAGGAAUUGACGGGACCCGCACAAGCGGUGGAUGAUGUGGAUUAAUUCGAUGCAACGCGAAACCUUACCUACCCUUGACAUGUACGGAAGCCCGAUGAGAGUUGGGUGUGCCCCGAAAGGGAGCCGUAACACAGGUGCUGCAUGGCUGUCGU